Ailuropoda melanoleuca (giant panda) is the source of this 159-nucleotide small nuclear RNA. Its record names the gene U1. It matches the Rfam family "U1 spliceosomal RNA". Rfam says of the family: U1 is a small nuclear RNA (snRNA) component of the spliceosome (involved in pre-mRNA splicing). Its 5' end forms complementary base pairs with the 5' splice junction, thus defining the 5' donor site of an intron. There are significant differences in sequence and secondary structure between metazoan and yeast U1 snRNAs, the latter being much longer (568 nucleotides as compared to 164 nucleotides in human). NCBI's taxonomy places the organism in Eukaryota, Metazoa, Chordata, Mammalia, Carnivora, Ursidae. The record is from Ensembl.
AUACUUACCAGGCAGGGAAAAGCCAUGACCAUGAAGGUGUUUUCCCGGGACGAGACCGUCCAUUGCACUCUGGGUGUGAUGACCUUUUGAUUUCCCCAAAUGUGGGAGACUUGCUUACAUAAUUUAUGGUAGAGGGGAUUGUGUUCAUUUUCUUCCCUU